RNAcentral lists this ribosomal RNA (468 nucleotides) under uncultured bacterium. RNAcentral describes it as "partial 16S ribosomal RNA". It matches the Rfam family "Bacterial small subunit ribosomal RNA", at positions 28 to 507 of the family's 1533-position model. The record is from RNAcentral.
GACGAACGCUGGCGGCGUGCUUAACACAUGCAAGUCGAACGGAAAGGCCCUGCUUUUGUGGGGUGCUCGAGUGGCGAACGGGUGAGUAACACGUGAGUAACCUGCCCUUGACUUUGGGAUAACUUCAGGAAACUGGGGCUAAUACCGGAUAGGAGCUCCUGCUGCAUGGUGGGGGUUGGAAAGUUUCGGCGGUUGGGGAUGGACUCGCGGCUUAUCAGCUUGUUGGUGGGGUAGUGGCUUACCAAGGCUUUGACGGGUAGCCGGCCUGAGAGGGUGACCGGCCACAUUGGGACUGGGAUACGGCCCAGACUCCUACGGGAGGCAGCAGUGGGGAAUAUUGCGCAAUGGGCGGAAGCCUGAUGCAGCAACGCCGCGUGCGGGAUGACGGCCUUCGGGUUGUAAACCGCUUUCGCCUGUGACGAAGCGUGAGUGACGGUAAUGGGUAAAGAAGCACCGGCUAACUACGUG